Molecule: ribosomal RNA, 308 nt
Filed under: uncultured bacterium
Lineage: Bacteria
Description: bacterial SSU rRNA
Rfam family: Bacterial small subunit ribosomal RNA
Source: RNAcentral
GAUAAACGCUGGCGGCGCACAUAAGACAUGCAAGUCGAACGGAAGUAAGUGCUUCGGUAUUUACUUUAGUGGCGAACGGGUGAGUAACGCGUGAGGAACCUGCCUUUCAGUGGGGGACAACAGUUGGAAACGACUGCUAAUACCGCAUGACGCUUCUUAGGGGCAUCCCUGAGAAGUCAAAGCUUUAUGUGCUGAAAGAUGGCCUCGCGUCUGAUUAGCUAGUUGGUGGGGUAACGGCCCACCAAGGCGACGAUCAGUAGCCGGUCUGAGAGGAUGGACGGCCACAUUGGGACUGAGAUACGGCCCAG